Molecule: ribosomal RNA, 772 nt
Filed under: Gymnopus sp.
Lineage: Eukaryota; Fungi; Basidiomycota; Agaricomycetes; Agaricales; Omphalotaceae
Description: eukaryotic LSU rRNA
Rfam family: Eukaryotic large subunit ribosomal RNA
Source: RNAcentral
AAUCUGGCAGUCUUUGAUUGUCCGAGUUGUAAUUUAGAGAAGUGUUACCCGUGUUGGGCCGUGUACAAGUCUCCUGGAAUGGAGCGUCAUAGAGGGUGAGAAUCCCGUCUUUGACACGGACUUCCAAUGCAUUGUGGUGCGCUCUCGAAGAGUCGAGUUGUUUGGGAAUGCAGCUCUAAAUGGGUGGUAAAUUCCAUCUAAAGCUAAAUAUUGGGGAGAGACCGAUAGCGAACAAGUACCGUGAGGGAAAGAUGAAAAGAACUUUGGAAAGAGAGUUAAACAGUACGUGAAAUUGCUGAAAGGGAAACGCUUGAAGUCAGUCGCGUUAUCUGGGGAUCAGCCUUCCUUUUGGUUGGUGUACUUCCUAGUUGACGGGUCAGCAUCAGUUUUGACCAGUGGAUAAAAGCUUGAGGAAUGUGGCAUCUUCGGGUGUGUUAUAGCCUCUUGUUGUAUACAUUGGUUGGGACUGAGGAACUCAGCACGCCGCAAGGCCGGGUUUUUAACCACGUUCGUGCUUAGGAUGCUGGCAUAAUGGCUUUAAUCGACCCGUCUUGAAACACGGACCAAGGAGUCUAACAUGCCUGCGAGUGUUUGGGUGGAAAACCCGAGCGCGUAAUGAAAGUGAAAGUUAGGAUCUCUGUCGCGGAGAGCACUGACGCCCGGCCCAGACCUUUUGUGACGGUGCCGCGGUUGAGCAUGUAUGUUGGGACCCGAAAGAUGGUGAACUAUGCCUGAAUAGGGUGAAGCCAGAGGAAACUCUGGUGGAGGCUCG